Molecule: transfer RNA, 71 nt
Filed under: Candidatus Parcubacteria bacterium
Lineage: Bacteria; Candidatus Parcubacteria
Description: tRNA-Gly
Rfam family: tRNA
About the family: Transfer RNA (tRNA) molecules are approximately 80 nucleotides in length. Their secondary structure includes four short double-helical elements and three loops (D, anti-codon, and T loops).
Source: RNAcentral
GCGAGUAUGGUGUAAUGGUAACACAUCUCCUUCCCAAGGAGAAAAUGCCGGUUCGAUUCCGGUUGCUCGCU